This 253-nucleotide ribosomal RNA is filed under the name uncultured bacterium. RNAcentral's name for it is "partial 16S ribosomal RNA". It matches the Rfam family "Bacterial small subunit ribosomal RNA", at positions 524 to 776 of the family's 1533-position model. The record is from RNAcentral.
UACGAAGGGGGCUAGCGUUGCUCGGAAUGACUGGGCGUAAAGGGUGCGUAGGCGGUUUGGUAAGUCUUGUGUGAAAUCUCCAGGCUCAACUUGGAGUCUGCACGAGAAACUGCCGGGCUUGAGUGUGGGAGAGGUGAGUGGAAUUCCUGGUGUAGCGGUGAAAUGCGUAGAUAUCAGGAGGAACACCUGUGGCGAAAGCGGCUCACUGGACCACAACUGACGCUGAUGCACGAAAGCUAGGGGAGCAAACAGG